UUGGAGGGCAAGUCUGGUGCCGCAGCCGCGGUAAUUCCAGCUCCAAUAGCGUAUAUUAAAGUCGUUGCAGUUAAAAAGCUCGUAGUUGAAUUUCGGGAUCAAUAUUUCGGUCAUGCCGUUGGUAUGCACUGUUAUCAUUGAUUUCUCACCUUCUAAAGAACCGUAAUGCCAUUAAUUUGGUGUUACGGGGAAUUAGGACUGUUACCUUGAAAAAAUUAGAGUGUUUAAAGCAGGCUCACGCUUGAAUACAUUAGCAUGGGAUAAUGAAAUAGGACAUCCGAUUCUAUUUUGUUGGUUUCUAGGAUCGAUGUAAUGAUUAAUAGGGAUAGUUGGGGGCAUUAGUAUUCAAUUGUCAGAGGUGAAAUUCUUGGAUUUAUUGAAGACUAACUACUGCGAAAGCAUUUGCCAAGGAUGUUUUCAUUAAUCAAGAACGAAAGUUAGGGGAUCGAAGACGAUCAGAUACCGUCGUAGUCUUAACCAUAAACUAUGCCGACUAGGGAUCGGAUGAUGUUAAUUUUUUAAUGACUCAUUCGGCGCCUUACGGGAAAC
This 549-nucleotide ribosomal RNA is filed under the name Funneliformis mosseae. RNAcentral describes it as "SSU rRNA". It matches the Rfam family "Eukaryotic small subunit ribosomal RNA", at positions 548 to 1098 of the family's 1831-position model. Lineage: Eukaryota; Fungi; Glomeromycota; Glomeromycetes; Glomerales; Glomeraceae. The record is from RNAcentral.